This is a non-coding RNA of Testicularia cyperi, 92 nucleotides long. NCBI's taxonomy places the organism in Eukaryota, Fungi, Basidiomycota, Ustilaginomycetes, Ustilaginales, Anthracoideaceae. The record is from the annotation of a GenBank genome assembly.
GGUUUCUUGGCGCAGUUGGUUAGCGCGUCUCCUUAACAAGCAUUUGUUGUUAAGUACGGAGGAGGUCGCCGGUUCGAACCCGGCAGAAAUCA